UUAGCGGCGGACGGGUGAGUAACACGUGGGCAACCUGCCUAUAAGACUGGGAUAACUUCGGGAAACCGGAGCUAAUACCGGAUACGUUCUUUUCUCGCAUGAGAGAAGAUGGAAAGACGGUUUACGCUGUCACUUAUAGAUGGGCCCGCGGCGCAUUAGCUAGUUGGUGAGGUAAUGGCUCACCAAGGCGACGAUGCGUAGCCGACCUGAGAGGGUGAUCGGCCACACUGGGACUGAGACACGGCCCAGACUCCUACGGGAGGCAGCAGUAGGGAAUCUUCCGCAAUGGACGAAAGUCUGACGGAGCAACGCCGCGUGAACGAUGAAGGCCUUCGGGUCGUAAAGUUCUGUUGUUAGGGAAGAACAAGUACCAGAGUAACUGCUGGUACCUUGACGGUACCUAACCAGAAAGCCACGGCUAACUACGUGCCAGCAGCCGCGGUAAUACGUAGGUGGCAAGCGUUGUCCGGAAUUAUUGGGCGUAAAGCGCGCGCAGGUGGUUUCUUAAGUCUGAUGUGAAAGCCCACGGCUCAACCGUGGAGGGUCAUUGGAAACUGGGGAACUUGAGUGCAGAAGAGGAAAGUGGAAUUCCAAGUGUAGCGGUGAAAUGCGUAGAGAUUUGGAGGAACACCAGUGGCGAAGGCGACUUUCUGGUCUGUAACUGACACUGAGGCGCGAAAGCGUGGGGAGCGAACAGGAUUAGAUACCCUGGUAGUCCACGCCGUAAACGAUGAGUGCUAAGUGUUAGAGGGUUUCCGCCCUUUAGUGCUGCAGCUAACGCAUUAAGC
Molecule: ribosomal RNA, 788 nt
Filed under: Bacillus sp. RKEM 632
Lineage: Bacteria; Bacillati; Bacillota; Bacilli; Caryophanales; Bacillaceae
Description: bacterial SSU rRNA
Rfam family: Bacterial small subunit ribosomal RNA
Source: RNAcentral